AGCAGCGUAGGAAAGUGGUCAUCCCGCCGGGCUCACAACUCGGAGAGCGUCGGUUCAAGUCCGACCGCUGCAACCA
This 76-nucleotide transfer RNA is filed under the name Mesorhizobium zhangyense. RNAcentral describes it as "tRNA-Val". It matches the Rfam family "tRNA". From Rfam's summary of the family: Transfer RNA (tRNA) molecules are approximately 80 nucleotides in length. Lineage: Bacteria; Pseudomonadati; Pseudomonadota; Alphaproteobacteria; Hyphomicrobiales; Phyllobacteriaceae. The record is from RNAcentral. RNAcentral also lists the same sequence under 3 other names.